GUCAGUACCUGCUGAUGGACCUUCCCUCCAGGAAUUUUAAACUUGGUUAAGCUACCAGUCUCCACAACAUCCUGUGACAAUGGGUUCCAUGAGCUAAUUACUUGCUGUGUGAAAAAGAACUUCCUUUUGUUAGCUUCAAACCUACUACCUAAUAGUUUCAUUGCUUAACCCUAUAACAAGGUGAUCUAUCCCCUGCAGAGGGGUUAGCCAGUCCUAGUGAGAGCAUUCAGCUGUAAUCAGGGAGCCCACUGGGAGUUUAAGUCCCAGAGGAGAGCUUGCUGAGAGGUAAAGCCUGUGAAGGUACUUGCUGCUGGAGGGAGCCAAAUUGCUGGGCUGGGAGGCAGAGCUAAAAGAAGUCCUCCCUGGGUGCCUGGAAAGUGAAGGAAACCUGUGAGCACUGUCCAGGUGGAUUAGACAAAAAGUGCAGGGUCUUCUUGGAAGCAGUGGGAGCCAGCUACCACUGGUAUGGAAAUAUCUGCACUUCGAACAGGACAGGUUAGAUUUCCAGCAUGGAGUUCACACUGCAGAAUAUGGGGGAUUCCCAGAUAUAUAAAAGGUGGCCCUGCCAGCAUAGCAAUAGCAGCAGAGCAUCCCUAUUGGAGAAGACGAUAAACAGGCAAGAGAAGAAGCUGAGCUGAACAAUAAGACAUGGCAAUGCACAGAAGGAACAAAAGGCCAGGGAAGGAGACAGGAGUGCCUUCCAGAGAUAUCGAGGGUAAUUCAUUCAGCAAAGUAGAAUUCUCUUUCAAAAACAAUGACAAAAUGAAAUGUUGCCCAAGUGUUCUCAGGGGAAGAUGGAAGACAGAUGGCAAGUAUAUAUACCAGUUCCCCAGGGGAGGAUGGAGAAAUGCUGAUGGAAAUCACAAUUAUGCCAGAGCAGGUGAUGAAGAAAUUAAAGCUUUUUAAGACAGACGCAGCUCCAAGAGCAGAUGGGCUGCUGUGCAGCACGUGGAAGGAGCUGGCAAAGAAAGAAAGAAAAUCUUCUUUGACUAGGUCCAUCAGUUGGCUGGAAACAAGGGGAGUUGCAAUGGACAGAAAAAGAGCUCAUGCAAUGUGGGCCAGAUUCUAACUUCCAGUUACACAGACACGGGAAUGGAAUACUGUCAGCAUUAUUUAUACUGCAGUAGUGCCUGAGUGCCUGAGUUGUGGUGGCCUUGUUGUGUGAAGCACUAUAUAGACACAGACUAUGCAGUUGGAAUUUGUGGAGUUGUUAUAGUUAUACCUUGUAGUAAGUAAACAGGAUCAUCUAAUCUAAUUCAUUUAAAGCUGUUGUAAUUCUGUUUUUCACAACAUACACUAUAAAGUUAUUUCCAACUCAGAAACAGUGGGAAUAUCCCAUCAGUAGAUACCAAAACUGACAGAAAAAUUCUAUAUAUUUGCCCAAAAAAAACCAGACAGAAAAAAAAGAAAAAAGGAAUAAAUUGUAGUAUGUAUGUAUUUAUUUAUUUAUUUAAAUAUUAUAUAUAAAAAUAAUUGUGUGUAUAUGCAUGUGUGUGUGUAUACACGUACACACACAUACACACACAAUAUGUGUAUAAUAUAUAAUAUUUUCAUGGUAUUUUAACAUGGCAUACAUAUCUAAUAUUUAAUAUAUG
Long non-coding RNA from Alligator mississippiensis (American alligator), 1595 nucleotides. RefSeq lists it as uncharacterized. The transcript is spliced from 4 exons. The record is from RefSeq and is a predicted model, not a curated record. NCBI's taxonomy places the organism in Eukaryota, Metazoa, Chordata, Crocodylia, Alligatoridae.